UUCGGCAAGAUAUUAUGUCUGUAU
RNAcentral lists this small nuclear RNA (24 nucleotides) under Arabidopsis thaliana (thale cress). RNAcentral's name for it is "snRNA_05572". The record is from RNAcentral. Lineage: Eukaryota; Viridiplantae; Streptophyta; Magnoliopsida; Brassicales; Brassicaceae.